GCCACCCAUCACUGCCUGUCUCAGUCCCUAACUCUAGCUGCCGUUCCAUCCUUAUCCCUUUCUCCUCUCUAAGAUCUAACCCAUGGCGGCCUGGCCGUCGAAGUAUGCUGUCGUAGAGAUAGGAUAGCUGUGUUGGAGAGCGGGUCAAGAAGAUGGAACUCGUGCAGUGGUGGCCGGGCACGUACUCGGAGUGUGUAUUGUGCGCCGCCGUUGUGGCGGGGAGUGGGCGGUCAAGUGCUCAGGGCACCUGCGGCCAUGGACAGGAUGCUUGGGUGGCUGAAAGCAUGCACGCAUGAUGCCAGCGAGGUCACUAUGCCAAACCUCAGCCUCAAGGUCGAUGUGUAGAGCUGAAGGGCCAAGGAGAGAGGGCCGCGCCGGCGUGGCCGGUCGUCGUCGGAUGUGACAGUCGUUGCAUGGUGCGGCGUCGUUGCGAGCAAUAGCAAGACGUCAUCUUGUUUGUGAGGCCGAAGAAGAGAAAAGCGGCGUUGGAGCUGGACAUGGGCAGUCGCCGGUAGGCAUCAGCAGGCCAAAUCUACUCGGAUGUGAUGUCACCGAAGCAUGAGGUGUGGAUGACCAAAACAUGCAACAGCCAAAACUAAACCAAUUCAGAAGUGUGGCACCUAGGACCUGGAUAUCAAUGGCGACGAGGAGCAGGUGUUGGCCGUCGCUUGUCCAGGUAGUGAGACACAUGUGUCUUGUACAAAUCUAUUCAUGGAAGGUUGCGAAAGUGGUGAGAUUGCUUGGUCAAGAGUACUAUCUCAUCAGGCUCCUUGGAUCCUCCCAAGAAUUGAGGGUACACACAUCCAAUCUUAGGACAA
Lolium rigidum is the source of this 818-nucleotide long non-coding RNA. RefSeq lists it as uncharacterized. NCBI's taxonomy places the organism in Eukaryota, Viridiplantae, Streptophyta, Magnoliopsida, Poales, Poaceae. The transcript has 3 exons. The record is from RefSeq and is a predicted model, not a curated record.